GGACUGCUCCAGCAGAAGCUGCAAAACGCUGCGCGCGCUAAAAACUUUUGGGCGCGCGCUAAAAAACGCUAUCGCGCGCAUCAUAUUUGGUGCGCCGGCUUGCGCGCGCAGCAAACUCUGAGCGGCUGCAGAUGGGACCGCUGAAUCGGACUGGAUUGAACGCCGCACUAGCGCGCGUCUGUUGGAGAUGCUCCGGUCCCCGCGCUUCAAAACUGCUACAGUGACGCGCUAAAAAAUUUAUUAGGC
Molecule: long non-coding RNA, 246 nt
Filed under: Hordeum vulgare
Lineage: Eukaryota; Viridiplantae; Streptophyta; Magnoliopsida; Poales; Poaceae
Description: long non-coding RNA (HVUL_LNC011072)
Source: RNAcentral